Molecule: long non-coding RNA, 1478 nt
Filed under: Homo sapiens (human)
Lineage: Eukaryota; Metazoa; Chordata; Mammalia; Primates; Hominidae
Description: HSALNT0245692
Source: RNAcentral
AGUUCCCAGGGACACAAACACUGCGGAAGGCCGCAGGGUCCUCUGCCUAGGAAAACCAGAGACCUUUGUUCACUUGUUUAUCUGCUGACCUUCCCUCCACUAUUGUCCUAUGACCCUGCCAAAUCCCCCUCUGCGAGAAACACCCAAGAAUGAUCAAUAAAAAAAAAAAUAAAAAAAAAAACAACCAAUCAACAAACAACCUCAUAAGCCCAGCAGACCGUGAAGGCCCCAGGAACUCAGGGCAGAAGUUAGCAAUGUGGGUUCUGCCCUCGUUGGCCAGAAAGGUGCGGUGUGGCCAUUUCACUUCCCUCGCUGGGCCUUGGAUUUCCUUACCAGAAACAUGAUGGUCAUAGUCACUGGCCAGUUGACUGCCCAGAGGUGGCACAAGGAUGAAAUGCAAUUGGACUCAGAGAACCGUACCAUGAGCCUAAAGCAUCUCAUCAUUCAACCCCACAAAUCUCAGGACAAAGUCAGUGCUCCACGGCGUCCAUCCCCGGCUCCUCCCUCCCUAACUGGCAGAGACCAGAGGGACACACACGUGCCUCAAGUUCACACAGCAACAUGGAACACCCAGGCCUCUCGUUUUCUGAAGCUUUUCCACCCCUCCAAACCUUUGCUAUAAUUAUCACCACUGCAACUUUUAACUAAAACUGAUUAAAAGUUUACCACGUGCCAGACACUAUUUUAAGCAUUUCUCCUGCAUCAUCGCAUCAAAUCCUCAUAGUAACUCUGUGAGAGUUGUUAUUGUUGUUGUUUCUGUUUCACAGACACAGAGGAGUUGAGAGAUUUCCCCGAGGUCACACGGCGACGUGGACCCAGGUGGUUCCAGGGCUUCCCAGAAGUCAGGCUUCCAUUCCCGCAGGAAGGGUGCAAACAGGCCAGUUCCUGCUGUGGGGAGGAGUGGGUGCCACAGUCCCUCAGAUCACUAAUCUAUUCGAUCCUACUGUGUGCCAAGUGCUGCUCUAGGUGCAGAUGAACAAGCCAGGUGGGGCCUGCCCUUGGGGAGCCUGAGGCCAAUGUGCCCGAAGGGUGCCCAGUGCCCUACAGCCCGAGACAGACCCUGGCUGCAUGAGGCCUUGGCGCCACGCCUCUGUGGGGUGAGGGCCAUCUUGAGCCAGAGCCUAGAGUGCAUUCCAGAACCUGAUCUUAUCACUCCACCAAGGACGCUAGUAUUCUGGGGGAUUGAUUUGCUGCAACCAGUGAUGGAUUUAAAACACAUGAGGAAGCCAAUUCAUUCCUUCACCCUGGGCCUGCAGAACCAUCCGAGCUGCACUGGGGCAGUUCUGUACAUCUCCAGUGAAUCCAGCCCUGCACCCCUCUGUUAACGUGCUUUUCAAACCAAACAGUGGAAUGCAUUGGUCAUCACAGGGUUUGAUCUGAUGUGAAAAGUGUUAUAAAGCCAUUCCAAUUAAAGUGCCUCUGGCCUUGUGUUUCCUGAAAGCUGCUAUUGAGAGGAAUAUAAUUGCAUGAGAACAGCA